RNAcentral lists this ribosomal RNA (312 nucleotides) under Neophryxe psychidis. Its description in RNAcentral is "partial 12S rRNA". The record is from RNAcentral. Lineage: Eukaryota; Metazoa; Arthropoda; Insecta; Diptera; Tachinidae.
UAAGGUAGUAAUAGUUAUGGUCUUGAAACUUAAAAAAUUUGGCGGUAUUUUAGUCUAUUCAGAGGAACCUGUCUUUUAAUCGAUAUUCCACGAUGAACCUUACUUAAAUUUGUUAUCAGUUUAUAUACCGUCGUUAUUAAAAUAUUUUAUAAGAAUUUUAAUUUUUUUGAUUUUUUUUUAAAAAAAUAUAUCAGAUCAAGGUGUAGCUUAUAUUUAAGUAUUGAUGGGUUACAAUAAAUUUAUUUAUUUGAAUAUAAAUUUGAAAUAUUUAUUGAAAUUGGAUUUGAUAGUAAAAUUAUAAAGAUUAAUAAU